UGAAUACGAGAUGCUACGGCGUCGAAGCAGUGUAUGUCAGACUUCCAAGAAAAGCUCGCAAUGUCAUAAAUAAAGAAUGCCUGUACCAUAACCGACACAGGUGGGUAGGUAGAGUAUACUAAGGGGCGCGAGAUAACUCUCUCUAAGGAACUCGGCAAAAUAACUCCGUAACUUCGGGAGAAGGAGUGCCUUCUUUAAGAAGGUUGCAAUAACAAGAUCCAAGCAACUGUUUAUCAAAAACACAGGUCUCCGCUAAGUCGUAAGACGAUGUAUGGGGGCUGACGCCUGCCCAGUGCCAGAAGGUUAAAGAAGUUGGUUAGCUUUUGCGAAGCUGAUGACUGAAGCCCUGGUGAACGGCGGCCGUAACGAUAACGGUCCUAAGGUAGCGAAAUUCCUUGUCGGGUAAGUUCCGACCCGCACGAAAGGCGUAAUGAUUUGGAUACUGUCUCGGAGAGGGACUCGGUGAAAUAGACUUGUCUGUGAGGAUGCGGACUACCUGCACCAGGACAGAAAGACCCUAUGAAGCUUUACUGUAACUUGAAAUUGAAAUUGGACUUUAUUUGCGCAGUAUAGGUGGAAGGCGUUGAAAGUAAUCUUGCGGGAUUAGUGGAGCCAUCAGUGAGAUACCACUCCUAUAAUGUUAGAUUUCUAACUUUGGAUCAUGAUCUGGUCAAAGAACAGUUUCAGGCGGGCAGUUUGACUGGGGCGGUCGCCUCCCAAAUGGUAACGGAGGCGUACAAAGGUUUCCUCUGAACGGGUAGAAAUCGUAUCUAGAGUGUAAAGGCAUAAGGAAGCUUGACUGUGAGACCUACAAGUCGAGCAGGGACGAAAGUCGGUCUUAUUGAUCUGACGGUGCUGAGUGGAAAGGCCGUCACUCAACGGAUAAAAGUUACUCUAAGGAUAACAGGCUGAUCUCCCCCAAGAGUUCACAUCGACGGGGAGGUUUGGCACCUCGAUGUCGGCUCAUCGCAUCCUGGGGCGGUAGUACGUCCCAAGGGUUGGGCUGUUCGCCCAUGAAAGCGGUACGCGAGCUGGGUUCAGAACGUCUUGAGUCAGUUCGGUCCAUAUCCGGUGUAGGCGUUAGAAUAUUGAGAGGAGCCUUCUUUAGUACGAGAGGACCGAGAAGGACAUACCUCUGGUGUACCAGUUAUCGUGCCAACGGUAAACGCUGGGUAGCUAUGUAUGGAGAGGAUAACCGCUGAAAGCAUCUAAGUGGGAAGCCCACCUCAAGAUGAGUAUUCUC
RNAcentral lists this ribosomal RNA (1243 nucleotides) under metagenome. RNAcentral's name for it is "bacterial LSU rRNA". It matches the Rfam family "Bacterial large subunit ribosomal RNA", at positions 1564 to 2815 of the family's 2925-position model. The record is from RNAcentral.